Molecule: long non-coding RNA, 375 nt
Filed under: Elaeis guineensis (African oil palm)
Lineage: Eukaryota; Viridiplantae; Streptophyta; Magnoliopsida; Arecales; Arecaceae
Description: long non-coding RNA (EGUI_LNC015358)
Source: RNAcentral
GGGGUGAAGGUUGCUUGAGACCUUGGGCUCCAUAAUUGGGUGUUAUCCAAUAAAUGUGAAAUAAAAGUUGGAAGGCUGGGAUCUUAAUAACUUGUCAGAAGAUCCCAUUAAAUGCAAACUGGAUAGAUGUGUUAUCUUCCUGUCACAGUACGUCAAAGAAAUAAUAGUAAGAGAUUGAAUGGUUAUAACGAUGCAUCAAUGAAUAGUAGCCGUUGUAUGAAUUGCUUAAUAUGCUACUCUUUACUUCGGACAACGAGAAGUGAUUAACCAGAAUAAAUGGCGCUUCAAGUUCAGGUGCAAAGAUCUAUAGACCAUUACAAACUUUCUCCGUCUGACUACCAACUACCGUAACAAUGGGACAAUUUCGAAGUGUUC